AUUAAUUAUAAUUAUAAUAAUAUAUAAUAUAUAAUAAGAUAUAAACAAUAAUUAUAUAACAUAUAUAAAUAUAUAGAUAUAGAUAGAUACAUGAAUACAAUUAAAAAAACGGAGGAAACCCUUCAGUUUAAGCAUUCCACCGCUUCUCAUAACACGACUUCCUUCUCUAACAUGCUUCUAACAAGACGACGCCGAUUUUGUUCACCACCGUUGCCAUUCCACCCUCGUCUGUUAUUAACAACUGUCGUCGAUUAUUCUCUGGUCUUCUUCUUCACUAAGAAAGUGCAAGGGCUGCCAUAAGCCUUUCUAGAACUAUGUUGGGAUAUUACCCGUUGAGAGUGUUUCCUUCCAAAACCGCCAUCGCACUUGUCAAUCUGACAUUUGUGCACUUGUCAAUCCGACAUUUUUGCCCAGUGCUGCGUUUUUCAGUCUGAAGAUGAAAGUGAGAUGUGCUCUAGAAAAAGCUGACUCAAGUUGAUGUGAAACACUUCUUUGAAUCUAUCUAUGGAGAGGUUUGUAGUUUAUGUGUGGAAUUAAGCUUAUAAUGCGUAUUGUUGUUUGAAUAAUUAGUAAGUGAGAUAUUUUCCUAUGGAGCAGGCACACGGACACAAGACACGGCACCGACACUGUCUACACCAGUAAUAAUUUGAAAAAGUGAAUAAAUUGAACCUAAUCACGUUUGUCGGUAUCGGACACGGACACAUGCCGGACACCGGACACGCCUCAGCUGAGAGGUAUGGGUGGUGUCGGUGCUACAAAUAUAUUUUCUAUAAAAAUUUUGUUCCAUGGUAAUUCAAUCCUUUAAUUUAAACAUCCUCUAUUGCUUUAUGAAUUUAUAGAUCUGACACCAACUUGAAACUAGAGUUAAGAUUGAUUUGAGUUGCCUGAGAGGUUAACCCUCAAUCUGUUUAUUUAUACUAAUUAGUAGGUACCACCCACCUCUUAAUUUUAGGGACAAAUCCAUAAUUAAAUCUGAUCUAAAUCAAUUUACAACAGAAUAUUCACAUAAUAUCUCAACAGUUUGAAAUGUUCCAACUGAUGAACGAAAAAUAACAAGUGGUAGAAUUUUGUUAUGUUAAUAAAUGUAGUUGUGAUUAGUGAUAACAUACAUGAUUGAUAGGUUGUUUCAUCCUAUUCAAGCCAUGCUAGUGCUCCUUUUGCAAUUGGCUAUGUCUGUGUUCUCAUUACAUCUCAGGUACACCCUGUUUAAUCUCUAGUCUCUCGGCUUAUUUAGGACUUGGGAGGAUGGCAUAUGAUUAAUAUUUUAAGGAAGCAUAGAGUAGUUUUCAAAAACAAUAAAGAGGACAUAGAAAUUUAUGAUGUUAGCUUUAUGAGCCCAUAUAAGCCAGUUUCAACAAAUUUUUGUAAACUUCUUAGAAUAGCUUAGGGCUUAUGUAAAGUUUUCUAUUACUCACUCUUUGAUUGUAGAAACUACUUAAAUAUAAGCACCUAUACGACAUGCUUAACUAAAUUUUUUAUUCCAAAUGUACUCCUUAGAAAUUGUAUGAUUUCUUUUUGUAUUAAUUCUUCUUGAAUAGAGUUGAUUAACUAAUUACUGUCAGCAGCUUGUCUCUGGAAUUACAUUUCUGGUUGGAUUGGACAAACUGUAUUCUGGCACCUUUAAUGGGACACUUCAGACAUGUGGCUAAAGAAGAUAGAGAGACAUCUUUCAUUAUUUUCUACAUGAGAUCUCAUGAAGAAUUGUUUGGCUAGCUAGAUGCAUAAUUAUAAAUGAAGUAGUUUUUAUCUUUCUGAAUUCAAUAUAGUUGGGGUUAGUUCAGUUAUAAGUGAAGAAUUUUGAUAUGCAUGUAAUCUUAUAUUGUUUAAUUUUUCGAAUUUCUUA
This is a long non-coding RNA of Vicia villosa (hairy vetch), 1843 nucleotides long. RefSeq lists it as uncharacterized. Lineage: Eukaryota; Viridiplantae; Streptophyta; Magnoliopsida; Fabales; Fabaceae. The transcript has 4 exons. The record is from RefSeq and is a predicted model, not a curated record.